This 542-nucleotide ribosomal RNA is filed under the name uncultured Penicillium. Its description in RNAcentral is "SSU rRNA". It matches the Rfam family "Eukaryotic small subunit ribosomal RNA", at positions 550 to 1098 of the family's 1831-position model. Lineage: Eukaryota; Fungi; Ascomycota; Eurotiomycetes; Eurotiales; Aspergillaceae. The record is from RNAcentral.
GGAGGGCAAGUCUGGUGCCAGCAGCCGCGGUAAUUCCAGCUCCAAUAGCGUAUAUUAAAGUUGUUGCAGUUAAAAAGCUCGUAGUUGAACCUUGGCUCUGGCUGGCCGGUCCGCCUCACCGCGAGUACUGGUCCGGCUGGAGCUUUCCUUCUGGGGAACCUCAUGGCCUUCACUGGCUGUGGGGGGAACCAGGACUUUUACUGUGAAAAAAUUAGAGUGUUCAAAGCAGGCCUUUGCUCGAAUACAUUAGCAUGGAAUAAUAGAAUAGGACGUGCGGUUCUAUUUUGUUGGUUUCUAGGACCGCCGUAAUGAUUAAUAGGGAUAGUCGGGGGCGUCAGUAUUCAGCUGUCAGAGGUGAAAUUCUUGGAUUUGCUGAAGACUAACUACUGCGAAAGCAUUCGCCAAGGAUGUUUUCAUUAAUCAGGGAACGAAAGUUAGGGGAUCGAAGACGAUCAGAUACCGUCGUAGUCUUAACCAUAAACUAUGCCGACUAGGGAUCGGACGGGAUUCUAUUAUGACCCGUUCGGCGCCUUACGGGAAAC